Molecule: ribosomal RNA, 1475 nt
Filed under: metagenome
Description: bacterial SSU rRNA
Rfam family: Bacterial small subunit ribosomal RNA
Source: RNAcentral
AGAGUUUGAUCCUGGCUCAGGAUGAACGCUAGCGGCAGGCUUAACACAUGCAAGUCGAGGGGCAGCAUAAGUAGCAAUACUUGAUGGCGACCGGCGCACGGGUGAGUAACGCGUAUGCAACCUACCUUUAACUGGAGAAUAGCCCGAGGAAACUCGGAUUAAUACUCCAUAAUAUUCUGAGAAGGCAUCUUCUUGGUCUUAAAGCUUCGGCGGUUAAAGAUGGGCAUGCGUGCCAUUAGCUUGUUGGUAAGGUAACGGCUUACCAAGGCUACGAUGGCUAGGGGGUCUUAAAGGAUGAUCCCCCACACUGGUACUGAGACACGGACCAGACUCCUACGGGAGGCAGCAGUGAGGAAUAUUGGUCAAUGGGCGAAAGCCUGAACCAGCCAUGCCGCGUGCAGGACGACGGCCCUACGGGUUGUAAACUGCUUUUAUUUACAAGGAAACCAUCCCACGUGUGGGAAUCUGACCAGUGAAUGAAUAAGCAUCGGCUAACUCCGUGCCAGCAGCCGCGGUAAUACGGAGGAUGCAAGCGUUAUCCGGAUUUAUUAGGUUUAAAGGGUGUGUAGGCGGGGCGGUAAGUCAGUGGUGAAAUCCUACAGCUUAACUGUAGAACUGCCAUUGAAACUAUCGUCCUUGAGUACAGUUGAGGUAGGCGGAAUGUGUAAUGUAGCGGUGAAAUGCUUAGAUAUUACACAGAACACCGAUUGCGUAAGCAGCUUACUAAACUGUUACUGACGCUGAGGCACGAAAGCGUGGGGAGCGAACAGGAUUAGAUACCCUGGUAGUCCACGCCGUAAACGAUGAUCACUCGCUGUAUGCCUUUUGAGGUAUGUGGCUGAGCGAAAGCAUUAAGUGAUCCACCUGGGGAGUACGUCGGCAACGAUGAAACUCAAAGGAAUUGACGGGGGCCCGCACAAGCGGUGGAACAUGUGGUUUAAUUCGAUGAUACGCGAGGAACCUUACCUGGGCUUAAAUGUAGUUCGAUCUCUCGUGAAAACGAGAUUCCUUCGGGCGAAUUACAAGGUGCUGCAUGGCUGUCGUCAGCUCGUGCCGUGAGGUGUCGGGUUAAGUCCCAUAACGAGCGCAACCCCUAUCCUUAGUUGCCAGCGGAUAAUGCCGGGGACUCUAAGGAGACUGCCACCGUAAGGUGUGAGGAAGGUGGGGAUGACGUCAAGUCAGCACGGCCCUUAUGUCCAGGGCUACACACGUGUUACAAUGGCCAGUACAAAGGGCAGCUACUUGGUGACAAGAUGCUAAUCUCAAAAACUGGUCUCAGUUCGGAUCGAAGUCUGCAACUCGACUUCGUGAAGUUGGAAUCGCUAAUCGUAUAUCAGCAACGAUACGGUGAAUACGUUCCCGGGCCUUGUACACACCGCCCGUCAAGCCAUGGAAGCUGGGGGUGCCUGAAGUCGGUGAGCGUAAGCAGCUGCCUAGGGCAAAACUAGUAACUGGGGCUAAGUCGAAACAAGGUA